RNAcentral lists this transfer RNA (59 nucleotides) under Deltaproteobacteria bacterium GWC2_65_14. Its description in RNAcentral is "tRNA-Met". Lineage: Bacteria; Deltaproteobacteria. The record is from RNAcentral.
GCGGUGUAGCUCAGGUGGUUAGAGCAUGCGGCUCAUAUCCGCAGUGUCCGGGGUUCAAA